UAGACCUCAGGUCAGACGAGACUACCCGCUGAACUUAAG
Molecule: ribosomal RNA, 39 nt
Filed under: Coeloplana bannwarthii
Lineage: Eukaryota; Metazoa; Ctenophora; Tentaculata; Platyctenida; Coeloplanidae
Description: partial 28S ribosomal RNA
Source: RNAcentral